UAGAGUUAUUCAGGGUUUCCCUAAUACUCCACCCUAUGUUUACCUGCCAUUGUUGCUUCAGCAGGCCGUCUUUGGGCGACUGGAUCUUUGCUAGUCCGCGCCUGCUAGAAGACCUAAAACUCUUGUUUGAUGCUGUCUGAGUACUAUAUAAUAGUUA
Molecule: unclassified non-coding RNA, 157 nt
Filed under: uncultured Helotiales
Lineage: Eukaryota; Fungi; Ascomycota; Leotiomycetes; Helotiales
Description: sequence contains ITS1
Source: RNAcentral